Molecule: long non-coding RNA, 1350 nt
Filed under: Mus musculus (house mouse)
Lineage: Eukaryota; Metazoa; Chordata; Mammalia; Rodentia; Muridae
Description: long non-coding RNA chr13:84278064-84279414
Source: RNAcentral
AAUCAAGUAUGGUGGUACCUCCCUAAGCAUCUUUUGGCUCAAGACUGUCUUAGCUAAUCCUACUUCCUUUUGGCCCGGAAAUGCUUGGGGUUGGUUUUUGGUUUUCUGCAUCUGUGAAGAGGCCAUGUAAUUUUGAUUGGAAUUGCAUUGACUCUGUGGGUUGCUAUUGGUAGGGUGGCCAUUUUUACAAGAUUAGUUGUGCCUAUCCAUGAGCGUGGAAACUCUUCAAUCUUCUUGCAUCUUUCUUAAUUUCUGUGUUGUUUGUUGUAAAGUUUCCAUUGUAGAGUUCUUUUAUUUCCUUGGUUCAGUUUGUCCCUAGGCAUGUUUACUUUAUUUUAUUAUGUCUGUUAUAAAUGGAAUUUCCUUUUUGGUGUGUUUGUCAUUGGUAUAUAAGACAGCUCUUGGUUUGUACGUGUUUUGUGUCUUCCCACUUUGCAGAAAGUAUCAUCUAUAAAAGGAUUUGGGUGGAGACUUUAGGAACUCUUAUAUAAUAAGUCAUAUCUUCUGCAAACAAGGAUCCUUUGUUCUUUUUUUUUUUUCCUAUUCUUAUCCCAUUUAUUUCCUUCUCUUGUCCUAUUGGUCUAGCUGAGACUUCAAACUGUACUGCAUAGCAAUAAAAAGAAUGGGCCUCCUUAUUUACCCCGGAUCUUAGUGUGAAUGUGUUUGAGGUUUUCUGCAUUUAGUACGAUGGGCUGCUGUAAACAGCUUUGAGUGUGUUGAUGUACACGCCCUCUGUCACUAGCCUUUCUAUGAUUUCUACCAUGAAUUCUGGAUUUUACCAAGGUUUUCUAGUAAGGUGGUAUUAUUUCUGUGUUUUAAUCUUCACUAAAUGAUGAGUUACAUUUAUGUAUGUCAAACUAUUCCUGCAUUGCUAAAAUUGACUCGACACUUAAUUCAGGUUAGGGUUGGUCAUAGUCUCUCAAUGCAUAUGGUCUUUUUAGAAACUACAGUAAAUUAACAUAUAAUUAUAUCACUUCUCUCCUUCCUUUUCCUUCUUGAAAGUUUUCCAUGUCCUUCCUCACUCUCUCUCAAAAUGAUAGCCUUUUUCCCUCUGAUUCUUAUUGGUAUGCGCGGCUAAAUGUUCUCUGAGUCUUAGCUAAUGGGAGCUGUGCUGUAGAUAGAUCAGCGUGGUCUGUUGAUUGCUGCAGUUUGUCUACUGUCUUCUGUGGUGGUAGAGAGAGGCUGUACUGACCUGGGAGUUUCAAGAGUAUAAGUUUAGCUGCUGGUGCUGGUGCACGCCUUUGAUCCAGGUACCCAGGAAGCAGAGAAAGGUGGAUCUGAGUUUGAGACCAGGCUGAUCUACAGAGCAAGCUCCAGGUCAGCCAGGGCUCCACACAGAGAAACUGUCUC